This 19-nucleotide non-coding RNA is filed under the name Rattus norvegicus (Norway rat). The record is from RNAcentral. Lineage: Eukaryota; Metazoa; Chordata; Mammalia; Rodentia; Muridae.
CAGAUGAUGCAGACAGCCC